UGGGGAAUAUUGCACAAUGGGCGCAAGCCUGAUGCAGCCAUGCCGCGUGUAUGAAGAAGGCCUUCGGGUUGUAAAGUACUUUCAGCGGGGAGGAAGGGAGUAAAGUUAAUACCUUUGCUCAUUGACGUUACCCGCAGAAGAAGCACCGGCUAACUACGUACCAGCAGCCGCGGUAAUACGUAGGUGGCAAGCGUUGUCCGGAUUUAUUGGGCGUAAAGCGAGCGCAGGCGGUUUCUUAAGUCUGAUGUGAAAGCCCCCGGCUCAACCGGGGAGGGUCAUUGGAAACUGGGAGACUUGAGUGCAGAAGAGGAGAGUGGAAUUCCAUGUGUAGCGGUGAAAUGCGUAGAUAUAUGGAGGAACACCAGUGGCGAAGGCGGCUCUCUGGUCUGUAACUGACGCUGAGGCUCGAAAGCGUGGGGAGCAAACAGG
Molecule: ribosomal RNA, 429 nt
Filed under: Chloroflexota bacterium
Lineage: Bacteria; Bacillati; Chloroflexota
Description: Chloroflexi bacterium partial 16S ribosomal RNA
Rfam family: Bacterial small subunit ribosomal RNA
Source: RNAcentral